UACGUAGGGUGCAAGCGUUGUCCGGAAUUAUUGGGCGUAAAGAGCUCGUAGGCGGUCUGUCGCGUCUGCUGUGAAAACCUAGGGCUUAACUCUGGGCGUGCAGUGGGUACGGGCAGGCUAGAGUGCGGUAGGGGAGACUGGAAUUCCUGGUGUAGCGGUGAAAUGCGCAGAUAUCAGGAGGAACACCGGUGGCGAAGGCGGCUCUCUGGGACGGUACUGACGCUGAGACGCGAAAGCGUGGGGAGCGAACAGG
This 253-nucleotide ribosomal RNA is filed under the name uncultured bacterium. Its description in RNAcentral is "partial 16S ribosomal RNA". It matches the Rfam family "Bacterial small subunit ribosomal RNA", at positions 524 to 776 of the family's 1533-position model. The record is from RNAcentral.